Molecule: ribosomal RNA, 253 nt
Filed under: uncultured bacterium
Lineage: Bacteria
Description: partial 16S ribosomal RNA
Rfam family: Bacterial small subunit ribosomal RNA
Source: RNAcentral
UACGGAGGGUGCAAGCGUUAUCCGGAUUCACUGGGUUUAAAGGGUGCGUAGGUGGGCAGGUAAGUCAGUGGUGAAAUCUCCGGGCUUAACCCGGAAACUGCCAUUGAUACUAUCUGUCUUGAAUACCGUGGAGGUGGGCGGAAUAUGUCAUGUAGCGGUGAAAUGCUUAGAUAUGACAUAGAACACCAAUUGCGAAGGCAGCUCACUACACGAAUAUUGACACUGAGGCACGAAAGCGUGGGGAUCAAACAGG